GCGGAGAUAAUAGCAAUAUUAUCUUAGCGGCGGACGGGUGAGUAACGCGUGGGUAACCUGCCUUAAACUGGGGGAUAACACAGGGAAACUUGUGCUAAUACCGCAUAACAUCACGAGAUGGCAUCAUUUUGUGAUCAAAGGAGCAAUCCGGUAAAAGAUGGACCCGCGUCCAAUUAGCUAGUUGGUGAGGUAAUGGCCCACCAAGGCGACGAUUGGUAGCCGAACUGAGAGGUUGAUCGGCCACAUUGGGACUGAGACACGGCCCAGACUCCUACGGGAGGCAGCAGUGGGGAAUAUUGCGCAAUGGGGGAAACCCUGACGCAGCAACGCCGCGUGAAGGAUGAAGGUUUUCGGA
This 355-nucleotide ribosomal RNA is filed under the name uncultured bacterium. RNAcentral describes it as "bacterial SSU rRNA". It matches the Rfam family "Bacterial small subunit ribosomal RNA", at positions 66 to 422 of the family's 1533-position model. The record is from RNAcentral.